GAGGGGUGCUAGCGUUAUUCGGAAUUAUUGGGCGUAAAGGGUGCGUAGGCGGCGCGUUAAGUCAACUGUUAAAUCUUCCGGCCUAACUGGAAGCUUGCAGUAGAAACUGGCGUGCUAGAGUUUGGAAGAGAGAAGUGGAAUUCUCGGAGUAGCGGUAAAAUGCGUAGAUCUCGAGAGGAACACCGAUGGCGAAGGCAGCUUCUUGGUCCAUAACUGACGCUGAGGCACGAAAGCGUGGGGAGCAAACAGGGAUUAGAUACCCUGGUAGUCCACGCCGUAAACGAUGAUCACUAGACGUCAGCUUUGCUUUGCAAAGUUGGUGUCGCAGCUAACGCGAUAAGUGAUCCCGCCUGGGAGUACGGUCGCAAGACUA
Molecule: ribosomal RNA, 373 nt
Filed under: uncultured organism
Description: partial 16S ribosomal RNA
Rfam family: Bacterial small subunit ribosomal RNA
Source: RNAcentral